This 370-nucleotide long non-coding RNA is filed under the name Vigna radiata. Its description in RNAcentral is "long non-coding RNA (VRAD_LNC008950)". The record is from RNAcentral. Lineage: Eukaryota; Viridiplantae; Streptophyta; Magnoliopsida; Fabales; Fabaceae.
AUGGCAUUGGUGCCGUUGGUUGAGGAUUAACAAAAGCUGAGUGGAAAAUCUCUAAGUAAACUUUCUCAUCAAUAUUUUAUUAUUUUACUACCUAUUCUAGUUAUAUGAUAAUCACAUAGAUCUUAAAAAAAAUGUGAUACAUGCUAAUUUUGUCAAUUAUUUAAUGGUUACGUCAACGUCCAGUGGAGGUCACAAGUUCAAAUACAUUGAAAAAACAUCAAUUGAUCAAGUUGCUUAUGCCACCAUUGAUGCCAAUUUGUUAAGAAUCUCUGAAACAAUAAUAUCAGGGCUUUUCUUUUUCAGAUAUUGGGACGAAAGUUCUUUCAGGCAAUGUUUAAAGCUUCCAAAUGACAAUCAGUCCUUCCACUUC